This 1344-nucleotide ribosomal RNA is filed under the name uncultured bacterium. Its description in RNAcentral is "bacterial SSU rRNA". It matches the Rfam family "Bacterial small subunit ribosomal RNA", at positions 28 to 1381 of the family's 1533-position model. The record is from RNAcentral.
GACGAACGCUGGCGGCGUGCUUAACACAUGCAAGUCGAACGGAAAGGCCCUGCUUGCAGGGUGCUCGAGUGGCGAACGGGUGAGUAACACGUGGGUGAUCUGCCCCUUACUUUGGGAUAAGCCUGGGAAACUGGGUCUAAUACUGGAUAGGACCAUGCUGUAGGUGGUGUGGUGGAAAGGUUAGUUUCGGUAAGGGAUGAGCUCGCGGCCUAUCAGCUUGUUGGUGGGGUAAUGGCCUACCAAGGCGUCGACGGGUAGCCGGCCUGAGAGGGUGGACGGCCACAUUGGGACUGAGAUACGGCCCAGACUCCUACGGGAGGCAGCAGUGGGGAAUAUUGCACAAUGGGCGCAAGCCUGAUGCAGCGACGCCGCGUGGGGGAUGACGGCCUUCGGGUUGUAAACUCCUUUCGGCCAUGACGAAGCCCUUGUGGUGACGGUAGUGGUAGAAGAAGCACCGGCUAACUACGUGCCAGCAGCCGCGGUAAUACGUAGGGUGCGAGCGUUGUCCGGAAUUACUGGGCGUAAAGAGCUCGUAGGUGGUCUGUCGCGUCAUUUGUGAAAGCCCGGGGCUUAACUCCGGGUUGGCAGGUGAUACGGGCAUGACUGGAGUACUGUAGGGGAGACUGGAAUUCCUGGUGUAGCGGUGAAAUGCGCAGAUAUCAGGAGGAACACCGGUGGCGAAGGCGGGUCUCUGGGCAGUAACUGACGCUGAGGAGCGAAAGCAUGGGUAGCGAACAGGAUUAGAUACCCUGGCAGUCCAUGCCGUAAACGGUGGGCGCUAGGUGUGGGUUUCCUUCCACGGGAUCCGUGCCGUAGCUAACGCAUUAAGCGCCCCGCCUGGGGAGUACGGCCGCAAGGCUAAAACUCAAAGGAAUUGACGGGGGCCCGCACAAGCGGCGGAGCAUGUGGAUUAAUUCGAUGCAACGCGAAGAACCUUACCUGGGCUUGACAUGCACUGGAUGCGGCCAGAGAUGGUUGUUCCCUUUGUGGCUGGUGUGCAGGUGGUGCAUGGUUGUCGUCAGCUCGUGUCGUGAGAUGUUGGGUUAAGUCCCGCAACGAGCGCAACCCUUGUCUCGUGUUGCCAGCAUUUGGUUGGGGACUCGCGGGAGACUGCCGGGGUUAACUCGGAGGAAGGUGGGGAUGACGUCAAAUCAUCAUGCCCCUUAUGUCCAGGGCUUCACACAUGCUACAAUGGCUGGUACAGAGAGUUGCGAUACCGUGAGGUGGGGCUAAUCUCGUAAAGCCAGUCUCAGUUCGGAUUGGAGUCUGCGACUCGACUCCAUGAAGUCGGAGUCGCUAGUAAUCGCAGAUCAGCAAUGCUGCGGUGAAUACGUUCCCGGGCCU